GACGAACGCUGGCGGCGUGCUUAACACAUGCAAGUCGAGCGGUAAGGCCCUUUCGGGGGUACACGAGCGGCGAACGGGUGAGUAACACGUGGGUGACCUGCCCUCAGCUCUGGGAUAAGCCUGGGAAACCGGGUCUAAUACCGGAUAUGACUCCAUGACGCAUGUUGUGGGGUGAAAGCCUUGUGCGGCUGAGGAUGGGCCCGCGGCCUAUCAGCUUGUUGGUGGGGGAUGGCCUACCAAGGCGACGACGGGUAGCCGGCCUGAGAGGGCGACCGGCCACACUGGGACUGAGACACGGCCCAGACUCCUACGGGAGGCAGCAGUGGGGAAUCUUGCGCAAUGGGCGAAAGCCUGACGCAGCGACGCCGCGUGAGGGAUGACGGCCUGGUGUAAC
Molecule: ribosomal RNA, 394 nt
Filed under: uncultured bacterium
Lineage: Bacteria
Description: bacterial SSU rRNA
Rfam family: Bacterial small subunit ribosomal RNA
Source: RNAcentral